AAUAUUCUUUUUUUUUCCCUCCUCUUUUACACCCUCUCCUCAUGUGGCCCAGGUAGGUCAUCACCGUCGGUUGGUUCAGUCGGUUGCUUGACCAGGUGGUAAGGGGUGUUCUUGGGGCGGCGUGGUCGUGCGGUGGAGAAGACAGACUGACUGUCCUGCCGGGCACGCUAUUCGCCUGGGUGUACAGUAACCGCACUUCCCUUCACUCCGAGCACCUGCCUCGACGGGGAGGCGCCGGCAGACGGAGCGUCAUAUAUACCGGCCGCGAGGUCGUCGCCAAGGGGUGGUAAGUAAGGGAGGGAGGGGAGGUGAGGCUGGUUUCGGGUCCGGGUCCGGGCCGGGUUUCGGGUGGUGCUCGCGCUCCUACCGGCGGCGCCUCGGCGGCGGCGGGUGGCCGCCCUACCCGAAGGACCCCGACGAGUCGAAGGCGGCGCCGCGGUGGCGGCAGCGGAGGAAGCUGGGCCGCGUCCUGCUGCUCGACGAGCAGGAGCUGCGCGAGGUCCGGGUGCAGCGGCUGGCGGAGCGGCGCGAGAGGCGGGUGAGGAGGAGGCGCCGGGUCUCGGUCGUCCCCGGCGACGAGAGCGACCGCAAGGAGAGGUUCGACGAGCUGCGGCACCAGAGGAGCCUGCGGCGCAAGGCCCUGCGGGAGCGGCACCCGGGGCACCCGCGGCGCGAGAGGUCCCGGGGGCGGCUGGCGGAGCGGCGGCUGGACGAGCUGGCGAGGCAGUUCCGCGAGCUGCGCGAGUUGCGGCAGAGGGAGCGCGAGCGGAGCGAGGCCCCGAGGGUGGCGCGGCGCGAGUGGCGGCGGAGGACGGAGGAGCGGCGGCCGCGCGGCGACGACGUGGCGCGCGUCAAGCGCGCGCGCGCGGCCCGGUAGAGGUCCGAGAAGGGCCUGCGGUCCCGGCGCGGCUGCUGCGGGACGUCGAGCGCGCGGCGGGCGCGCGAGAGGAAGUCGCAGAGCAGGUUCUUGACCAGGUGCCCCGCGGUGCACGUGCGGUACCGCCGCGUGGAGCGCGGCGGCGGCGGGGGCCGCGGCCCCCGCCGGAGCCCGACCGCGAGAUGUGGUACUCGAGGCAGGAGCACAAGCGGUACACCCGCGAGCAGCGGCGGCACGGGACGGUCCUGUCCCGGAGGCGCCGGCGGGGGCAGCGCGGCCGGUUCGUCCGCGUCACCCGCCGCGGGUACUGCCGGUAGGUCCUCGCCUAGCACCUCCUCAGCUCCGCCUCCCUGUUCUUCCCCAGCAGGAGGCCCCGCAGGAGCGGCCGCAGGCGCCCCGAGGAGCGGCUCUACGUCCGGCACCUCGCGCGGCGCGCCCUCGAGUUGUCGGACGAGCUCCUCUAGCGGCUCCUCCUCCUGCUCCGGCGCCUCCACCUCCGGGGCCGCAGGUAGUCGCUCCUCGCGCGGCCUCUGCAGCACCUCGCGCGUCUCCGCGACCGGCCGCGCACGGCCCGCGACCUCCUGCCGGAGCGCGGCGACCUCGCCGUCCACGCGCGGCACAAGGUGGCGCAGCACCGGUCGGCGCGGCUCCAGCACGCCACGUACCUCGUGUCGCGCGCGUCGUGGCGGCCCAGGCGGAGGCCGGGCGGCCGCGUCGUCGGGGUAAGGAAGACU
Molecule: ribosomal RNA, 1611 nt
Filed under: Triticum aestivum (bread wheat)
Lineage: Eukaryota; Viridiplantae; Streptophyta; Magnoliopsida; Poales; Poaceae
Description: partial small subunit ribosomal RNA
Source: RNAcentral